This 369-nucleotide transfer-messenger RNA is filed under the name Actinomyces oris. It matches the Rfam family "transfer-messenger RNA". Rfam says of the family: Bacterial tmRNA, also known as 10Sa RNA or SsrA, is named for its dual tRNA and mRNA-like properties. Lineage: Bacteria; Bacillati; Actinomycetota; Actinomycetes; Actinomycetales; Actinomycetaceae. The record is from RNAcentral.
GGGGAUGAUCGGUUUCGACGACGGUCGUAGGUUCAGGAGAAGCGGGUCGAGGAUGCGCAGUCAUCUCGUCAACGCUCUGCGCGAACCAAUAGGUGCCGAUAACACUCGCACCGACUUCGCCCUCGCCGCCUGAGUGAGCCUCGAAGUCCGUCAGCCCGGGAGCGCUUCCGCCCCGGUUCCUGGCGUCAUCUAGGGAGCCACUGCUGAGAUCCCGUGUCGGUAGGGUUCUUGGGACUUUUCAUCGACUGAGCCUGUCGGCGUCCUUGCUCGCGUGAGACGCCGGGGCUGAGAAAAACGCUAGCGAGCUGCACCCGGAGAAGUCCUGUUGUGCGCCCGUCGGACGGGGGUCUCGAUUCCCCCAUCUCCACA